CAACUUUUAAGAAAUUAAUUACAAUUAAUAAAGGUUGUAAUUAUCUUGGAAGUGUUUUCUUUUGAAUUAUUUAGUCUUUGAAUCUUUUGAAUUAAAAAUUAAUGAAUUAAACUUUGUAUAUACAACCCUGAGAAUUGAAAACCCUCUGUUAUAAUUGUUUUUGGAUUAAUAACAUUUGAUACCCUUGUCACAUAAAUGCUAAUAAUUCAGAAUUUGUGUCAAUAAUUCAUAUUUUGUGGUUGAGAAUGUCG
RNAcentral lists this long non-coding RNA (251 nucleotides) under Vigna radiata. RNAcentral describes it as "long non-coding RNA (VRAD_LNC004191)". Lineage: Eukaryota; Viridiplantae; Streptophyta; Magnoliopsida; Fabales; Fabaceae. The record is from RNAcentral.